CGGAGGGUGCGAGCGUUGUCCGGAAUCACUGGGCGUAAAGGGCGCGUAGGCGGCAUGCCAAGCGUGUGGUGAAAGCCCGGGGCUCAACCCCGGGUCGGCCGUGCGGACUGGCGUGCUCGAGCACUGUAGGGCGGGUGGAAUUCCGGGUGUAGCGGUGGAAUGCGUAGAGAUCCGGAAGAACACCGGUGGCGAAGGCGGCCCGCUGGGCAGGAAGACGGAGCAAUCCGUCGGCUGACGCUGAGGCGCGACAGCGUGGGGAGCAAACAGGAUUAGAUACCCUGGUAGUCCACGCCGUAAACGAUGGGCACUAGGUGCCUGGGGGAGCGACCCCCCGGGUGCCGGCGCUAACGCAUUAAGUGCCCCGCCUGGGGAGUACGGCCGCAAGGCUG
Molecule: ribosomal RNA, 389 nt
Filed under: uncultured organism
Description: bacterial SSU rRNA
Rfam family: Bacterial small subunit ribosomal RNA
Source: RNAcentral